CAGAGAGAGGGGAGCUGGAACAUGUUAGGGCCCCCGAAAGCCAAGAUACCCCAGAGCCCAGGAAUCUGAGAAGAGUCCACGUUGAGGGCAGCGUUCGCCUGCGUUCUCUGCCAAGGGGCUGUGGAUUUCGGGACUGAGCACCGUGUCCCGGGACCUCAUCCCCAGGAGGCAGGGCCAUGGGACAGCCCCCAGCGCCAGCCGUGUGGAAUGUGCCACUCUUGGAACUGAGGCUCUCGGUUUUUAAAAUUGGCUUGUAAAUCUCCGUGUAGUUUUCAGGCUUUAGGAAUUUUAUUUUAUCUGGAUUAAAGUCAUGUUCUGCUUUGGCAUAGGAAGGCGUUUAUGACUGUUAAAACAAGAAAUGAAAAAUAUAGGCCUGCAAUCAGCCGGGCUGCCUCCUGCCAGAGUCUAGGGAUUUGUCUUGGGGGCCAGGCUGAAGGUUUGCUGCCCUUCUCCCCGCACUGCUCUGUGUUUCUCCAGAAAGCUGGAGCUGGCUGCCUGGGAGCGGCUGUCGCGAUGGCUGGGAGGGCCUCAGGAACGAAGCCUUUGUCUUUGCUCAGGUGUGUUCUCACAAUGGGGAGCCACGGCCCUCCCCAAGGACCAGCGAGCAAUGGGCGCAUCUCAUUCGCUGCCUGCAUUUGCCCCCGCCCAUCCAAGAGAGCAGAAUCAGAGAGGAAUUGAACUUUCUUGCCAACUUCCUCCAGAGCACAAGAUCAUCCCUCUUGGUCUCUAAACAAUACGCCAAUCAUCGGAUGGAAGUGAGGGGAGCGCUGACCUGUUAGCACCAAACACAGCCCAGGCCCGGAACGGGAGACACACAACAGGAGCAGAGCUGGCUUUCGUACCCGGCCUGGUAAAGACAACAUGUUCUUACAGGCCAGCCGCGAGUCACGGAGGACAAGAACUGAACGACUUCAUUGCCAUUCAUUGGGUCGCCAUAUUUGCACUGGCAACGAAACCCCCAGGAUACCCCUUGCCCUGGCAAUCAGUGUCCUAGGCAAAUGGAGAACAUUAAGAAGUCACUGCACAGCCGAGCAUAACAUGCCUCGCUCUCUUUCACACAGACACACCAAGUCAGCAUUUCAAUUCAAGAAAGCUCCCAAGACAGAGGUGACACAGAAACACACUUUGGGGGGAAACUUCCCCCUUCCCUGGAAUAGGAUACCAUAUGUGUGACUCCCUCUCAGGGUCAGUAUGGCUGGAACAUGCCAUUUCUCCUCUAUCCAGUUACCCUACAUUCGACUCUGUCACUGUGACACCAUAUGCUGCCGGAACAACACAUCCUCAUUCCUUGGAAUAAAAAGGUCUUUCAUAAGACUUAUUAAGUCUGAAUCUUAAUCAUAGUCAUCAUUAUUCAGUCUGCUUGCUGUCCACAAUAUUGAAAUGAAGGGAAACAAGAAAUAGAAAAAGACAAGUUUACAAUCUUCAAGACACCAAUGAAUAAGAAACGAUGGCGAAGAAAGCAAGAGUGACCUCAAAAAAAGAAACGUCUUAAAGUGUAAAAAAAAAAAAUCCACAAAUAGACUCUUAGCUUUCAAUAUUAGUCUUUACUUUAAAAAUAAGGGGAGGGAUGAUUAAAGAGAUGAAUUCACAUUUGAAUAGAAUCCAAAUGACUUAAGAACUAUUUGGAUCCGAAUAUUUCAGUUGGACAAGGAAUGAUAUUAAAGUUAUGUGAUACAUUAGGGGUUGAAGUGAAAUGGAAAUAUUUCUUUCAUUUAAAAGCAAU
This 1723-nucleotide long non-coding RNA is filed under the name Equus caballus (horse). RNAcentral's name for it is "lncRNA (ENSECAG00000036023.3)". The record is from RNAcentral. Lineage: Eukaryota; Metazoa; Chordata; Mammalia; Perissodactyla; Equidae.